UACGUAGGGUCCAAGCGUUGUCCGGAAUUAUUGGGCGUAAAGAGCUCGUAGGCGGCGUGUCGCGUCGGAUGUGAAAGCCCGGGGCUUAACUCCGGGUCUGCAUUCGGUACGGGCAUGCUGGAGUUCGGUAGGGGAGACUGGAAUUCCUGGUGUAGCGGUGAAAUGCGCAGAUAUCAGGAGGAACACCGGUGGCGAAGGCAGCAAACUGGCCGGCAUCUGACGCUGAGGCGCGAAAGCGUGGGUAGCAAACAGG
This 253-nucleotide ribosomal RNA is filed under the name uncultured bacterium. RNAcentral's name for it is "partial 16S ribosomal RNA". It matches the Rfam family "Bacterial small subunit ribosomal RNA", at positions 524 to 776 of the family's 1533-position model. The record is from RNAcentral.